Molecule: ribosomal RNA, 472 nt
Filed under: uncultured bacterium
Lineage: Bacteria
Description: bacterial SSU rRNA
Rfam family: Bacterial small subunit ribosomal RNA
Source: RNAcentral
ACUCCUACGGGAGGCAGCAGUGGGGAAUAUUGCACAAUGGGCGCAAGCCUGAUGCAGCCAUGCCGCGUGUAUGAAGAAGGCCUUCGGGUUGUAAAGUACUUUCAGCAGUGAGGAAGGUGGGUAUGUUAAUAGCAUAUUCAUUUGACGUUAGCUGCAGAAGAAGCACCGGCUAACUCCGUGCCAGCAGCCGCGGUAAUACGGAGGGUGCGAGCGUUAAUCGGAAUUACUGGGCGUAAAGCGCAUGCAGGUGGUUUGUUAAGUCAGAUGUGAAAGCCCGGGGCUCAACCUCGGAAUUGCAUUUGAAACUGGCAAACUAGAGUACUGUAGAGGGGGGUAGAAUUUCAGGUGUAGCGGUGAAAUGCGUAGAGAUCUGAAGGAAUACCGGUGGCGAAGGCGGCCCCCUGGACAGAUACUGACACUCAGAUGCGAAAAGCGUGGGGAGCAAACAGGAUUAGAUACCCUGGUAGCGUAG